This 106-nucleotide small nucleolar RNA is filed under the name Capsicum annuum. Its description in RNAcentral is "Plant small nucleolar RNA R71". It matches the Rfam family "Plant small nucleolar RNA R71". Rfam says of the family: R71 is a member of the C/D box family of snoRNAs containing the C (UGAUGA) and D (CUGA) box motifs. Lineage: Eukaryota; Viridiplantae; Streptophyta; Magnoliopsida; Solanales; Solanaceae. The record is from Rfam by way of RNAcentral.
ACUUCGUGGUUGGGACAUUGCAUGAGAUUCCCAUUAAAUCUCUCCCACACCUCGUAUAGAGGCUCUCUAUUUAAUUAGUAAAAGUUUGUGAUUUUAUCAUGCAAUU